GACGAACCGUCCGAACGUUAUUCGGAAUUACUGGGCUUAAAGGGUUUGUAGGCGGCCUUGUAAGUCAGGUGUGAAAGCCCUCGGCUCAACCGAGGAACAGCGCUUGAUACUGCAAGGCUUGAGGGAGACAGGGGUAAGCGGAACUGAUGGUGGAGCGGUGAAAUGCGUUGAUAUCAUCAGGAACACCGGUGGCGAAAGCGGCUUACUGGGUCUCUUCUGACGCUGAGGAACGAAAGCUAGGGUAGCGAACGGG
RNAcentral lists this ribosomal RNA (253 nucleotides) under uncultured bacterium. RNAcentral describes it as "partial 16S ribosomal RNA". It matches the Rfam family "Bacterial small subunit ribosomal RNA", at positions 524 to 776 of the family's 1533-position model. The record is from RNAcentral.